Molecule: ribosomal RNA, 908 nt
Filed under: uncultured Enterobacteriaceae bacterium
Lineage: Bacteria; Pseudomonadati; Pseudomonadota; Gammaproteobacteria; Enterobacterales; Enterobacteriaceae
Description: bacterial SSU rRNA
Rfam family: Bacterial small subunit ribosomal RNA
Source: RNAcentral
AUUGAACGCUGGCGGCAGGCCUAACACAUGCAAGUCGAGCGGCAGCGGAAAGUAGCUUGCUACUUUGCCGGCGAGCGGCGGACGGGUGAGUAAUGUCUGGGAAACUGCCUGAUGGAGGGGGAUAACUACUGGAAACGGUAGCUAAUACCGCAUGACCUCGAAAGAGCAAAGUGGGGGAUCUUCGGACCUCACGCCAUCGGAUGUGCCCAGAUGGGAUUAGCUAGUAGGUGAGGUAAUGGCUCACCUAGGCGACGAUCCCUAGCUGGUCUGAGAGGAUGACCAGCCACACUGGAACUGAGACACGGUCCAGACUCCUACGGGAGGCAGCAGUGGGGAAUAUUGCACAAUGGGCGCAAGCCUGAUGCAGCCAUGCCGCGUGUGUGAAGAAGGCCUUAGGGUUGUAAAGCACUUUCAGCGAGGAGGAAGGCAUCAUACUUAAUACGUGUGGUGAUUGACGUUACUCGCAGAAGAAGCACCGGCUAACUCCGUGCCAGCAGCCGCGGUAAUACGGAGGGUGCAAGCGUUAAUCGGAAUUACUGGGCGUAAAGCGCACGCAGGCGGUUUGUUAAGUCAGAUGUGAAAUCCCCGCGCUUAACGUGGGAACUGCAUUUGAAACUGGCAAGCUAGAGUCUUGUAGAGGGGGGUAGAAUUCCAGGUGUAGCGGUGAAAUGCGUAGAGAUCUGGAGGAAUACCGGUGGCGAAGGCGGGCCCCCUGGACAAAGACUGACGCUCAGGUGCGAAAGCGUGGGGAGCAAACAGGAAUAGAUACCCUUGUAGUCCAAGGGCGAAUUCUACAGUGGAAUAUCAAGCUUAUCGAAACCCGCGGCCUUUUUUUAUGUAGAUAAAAAACCGCUUUUGUUCCCUUUAGGGAGUGGUAAUUACCGGUUUUUUUUGUUGAAGUAGCUGUU